AACGAACGCUGGCGGCAUGCCUAACACAUGCAAGUCGAACGAUGCUUUCGGGCAUAGUGGCGCACGGGUGCGUAACGCGUGGGAAUCUGCCCUUUGGUUCGGAAUAACAGCGAGAAAUUGCUGCUAAUACCGGAUGAUGACGUUAAGUCCAAAGAUUUAUCGCCAGAGGAUGAGCCCGCGUAGGAUUAGCUGGUUGGUGUGGUAAAGGCGCACCAAGGCGACGAUCCUUAGCUGGUCUGAGAGGAUGAUCAGCCACACUGGGACUGAGACACGGCCCAGACUCCUACGGGAGGCAGCAGUGGGGAAUAUUGGACAAUGGGCGCAAGCCUGAUCCAGCAAUGCCGCGUGAGUGAUGAAGGCCUUAGGGUUGUAAAGCUCUUUUACCCGUGAUGAUAAUGACAGUAGCGGGAGAAUAAGCCCCGGCUAACUCUGUGCCAGCAGCCGCCGUAA
This 450-nucleotide ribosomal RNA is filed under the name uncultured bacterium. RNAcentral's name for it is "partial 16S ribosomal RNA". It matches the Rfam family "Bacterial small subunit ribosomal RNA", at positions 29 to 523 of the family's 1533-position model. The record is from RNAcentral.